This 1252-nucleotide long non-coding RNA is filed under the name Mus musculus (house mouse). RNAcentral's name for it is "RIKEN cDNA 4930405N21 gene". The record is from RNAcentral. Lineage: Eukaryota; Metazoa; Chordata; Mammalia; Rodentia; Muridae.
GGUCUUUCAGGAUAGUCAGUGCUGGAGAAAGGAGUUGAGGACUUGGGAAACCUUACCUUCUGCAGGGCUUCAUUUGAGGCUAAAGCAUUGCCUGUUAAAUUUGAGGUGGACGUGGAGAGCCCAGAGUGAGCAGUGUUCUGUUCACUCUCUAGGGACAGCCUCUCCAUCAGGAAAGCAACCACGACCACCCUCCUUCCCAACCACCACUGUGGAGCAGAAGAAUUUGGGAAGAGGAGUGAGUGCUUCUCGGGCUCUCCAUCCAGGCAAUACCAUCUCUGGCCAUGACGGAGCCACGGUGGCAGCCUUCAAUUCGGAAACAGAAAGUCAGCGUUAACUGUGACCACAGGCUAACGCUACCCCAAAGGCACCAGCGACCAUGUCCCAAUCCUCACAUGAUGCGGGCAAGGAGGAUCAGGGAGAGCCGCGGAAAGACUUUACGGUGGAUGACUUAAGUCAAGGCCAGAUGAUGAGGUGUCCUCGGACUGGCUGCCCGCGGCUCUGGUUGGCUGACCACAGGUUCCUGGAUCCUGGCUCUCAUUUCUGGGAAACAGAAACUUAGGCCUAGUCUCCCAAACGGCCAGUUUGCAGCUGUCAUGGAGUCAGUCUGGCUCUCCUGACCUGGUGUUCCCAUUUCCCCUUCUGAUUUGCAACUGGAUCAAAUCAUUGAUUUGUCAGGGUUUUUUUUCCCUCCAAUCUUUUUCUUCCCACCUUGUCACUUGUCAGGGGCAGAAGUCGUUAUUAUUGAGAACAGUUACUGCCAAGCAAGUUUUCAUAUGGGAACAGUAAAAAGCCACAUCUGAAACCUGUCUAUACCUUAAUUUGAUGGCUAUUAGUAAAGCAAGCCUGUCUGCCGUUUUCGAAACAAGAAACCUAGCAGUUUAACCCGAUAAGUUAACCAAUGAACUAACGUCGUGGUGGAUUGUUUUGACAUAAGGAGCUAGUUGCCUGUAUGUCACUGCCCAGACAGUUGCUUGGGGCUCCUGCGUCUCUAUGGCACCGAGGGCAGAGGCAGCCUUUGGCCAUCAGCCCCAGAAGACGAAGAGGCUUUUCCUGCAGAGGAGGAACAUGGGAGACUGGCCUAUCCUUGUCUACAGCACCGUGUGGCGAUCAGUUCUGCCCUCCAUCCACAGCUCAGGCCAGGUCUUGGCAGCAGCAGGCAAGACAUCAGGACAGUUAUGCCCAGUGGUUAUCAUACCACCAUCCAGGUGGUGUCCUCUGCCAUUGUGCCCACCAAUUUUCAGAGACCUCGGUG